GUUUUCCUUAACGCUCGGUGCUGAAGUCUGCCGGAUCCAGAAAGGCUUCUCAUCUCGUAUAUCGCGGAGCCGGGGAUCUGGAUUACUGUGUCCGGGCUGAAGAUAUAACUUUCCUAUUGUUAGACCUGCAGUGAGAGAUUUAUUGGAAGAAAAACCCCAACUGGAGGAAAACCACGACUGAUGACGAGGGAGCAGCAACAAGUGAACCAACCCGAGGACUGAGAGCAUCAAUCAGAGAGAACCCAACUGACUCGGACAUUCCAGUGAUUCAGUCAGGAGAAAUUUUGGCUAAAAACAAGGAAUUUAUCUACGGGAAUUUCGAACACAACAUGCCAAUUUUGCUGUCUCUGUCCAGAUAUUUAAGAAGUGGAGCAAGGGAUUCACUCGAUCAUCCUUCCUGCUCAGGCUGUGGGGAGGGAUUCACUUGGUCAUCUGACCGACUGGCAAAGCGGAAAUUUUACACGGGGAGAGGCCGUUCAUUUGCUCAGACUGUGAGAAUGGAUUCAGUGGGUCUUCUCAACUGAAUGUAUAUCAGCAAGUUCACACUGGACAAGGCCAUUCACCUGUUCUGUGAGUGAGAAGGGAUUCAGUCGUCUUCCCACCUGUGGACACACCAGUCAGUUCACACUGGGCAGAGGCUGGUCAUCUGCUGAAUUUGUGGGGAAGGAUUCACUCGGUCAUCUGACUUCAUGGCUCACCAGCGAGUUCACACUGAGGGGAGGCC
Long non-coding RNA from Hypanus sabinus (Atlantic stingray), 724 nucleotides. RefSeq lists it as uncharacterized. Lineage: Eukaryota; Metazoa; Chordata; Chondrichthyes; Myliobatiformes; Dasyatidae. The record is from RefSeq and is a predicted model, not a curated record. The transcript is spliced from 3 exons.